This 1394-nucleotide ribosomal RNA is filed under the name metagenome. Its description in RNAcentral is "bacterial LSU rRNA". It matches the Rfam family "Bacterial large subunit ribosomal RNA", at positions 1499 to 2925 of the family's 2925-position model. The record is from RNAcentral.
UGGUUAUGACCGUCUAAGUGUCUAGUCUUCGGACGAAGCAUUAAUGAAACUGCCUUUACAGGCGGAAUUCUGGUAACCCAUGCUGACAGGAAAAGCUUAACUAUGUCAUGUCUUAGCCGACCGUACCGCAAACCAACACAGGUACUCAGGUCGAGUAGACCAAGAUGUGCGAGAGAACCCUCGUUAAGGAACUCGGCAACAAAAGCGACCGUAACUUCGGGAUAAGGUCUGCCUUUCACCGUUUACGGUGAAAGGUCGCAGCGAAAGAGUCCACGCGACUGUUUAUCAAAAGCACAGGUCUCUGCUAACACGAAAGUGGAUGUAUAGGGGCUGACGCCUGCCCGGUGCUGGAAGGUUAAGGAAGUUGGUGUAUGCUGACGACUGAAGCCCCAGUGAACGGCGGCGGUAACUAUAACCGUCCUAAGGUAGCGAAAUUCCUUGUCAGGUAAGUUCUGACCCGCACGAAUGGCGCAACGAUGUGGACGCUGUCUCAACGAGGGACUCGGUGAAAGUGCAAUGGCGGUAAAGAUGCCGUCUGUCCGCAUCAGGACGAGAAGACCCCGUGGAGCUUUACUACAGCUUGACAUUGGGUCGAGUGGCAGUUUGUGCAGGAUAGGUGAGAGACUUUGAAGCAGAUACGCUAGUAUUUGUGGAGUCACCCGUGAAAUAUCACCCCUGCUGUCAUUUGGCUCUUACUCUGACCGUUAUCCGGUCAGGGGACCGUGUCUGGUGGGUAGUUUAACUGGGGCGGUUGCCUCCUAAAUAGUAGCGGAGGCGUUCAAAGGUUGGCUUAGCUCGGAUGGAAAUCGAGUGGAAAGUGUAAGCGCACAAGCCAGCUUGACUGUGAGUCAUACAUGACAAACAGGUACGAAAGUAGGAGCUAGUUGUCCGCUGUCCGAACAUUUAUGUUCAAGGUAGUGGUACCGGCAGCGCUAACGGAUAAAAGUUACCCCGGGGAUAACAGGCUUAUAGCGCCCAAUAGUUCACAUAGACGGCGCUGUUUGGCACCUCGAUGUCGGCUCAUCACAUCCUGGGGGAGAAGCAUCUCCCAAGGGUUCGGCUGUUCGCCGAUUAAAGUGGUACGCGAGCUGGGUUCAGAACGUCGUGAGACAGUUCGGUUUAUAUCCGAUGCGGACGAGUUGGAAAUUUGAGUGAAGUUGCCCCUAGUACGAGAGGACCGGGGUGAACGAACCGCUGGUGUACCAGUUGUCAUACCAAUGGCAUCGCUGGGUAGCUAAGUUCGGAGUGGAUAAGUGCUGAAAGCAUCUCAAGCACGAAGCCCUGCACAAGAUUAGAUUUCCCCAUGAGACCCCAGAAAGACUAUCUGGUUGAUAGGUGCACGGUGUAAGCGCAGUAAUGCGUUGAGCCUAAGCAUACUAACGGUCCAUUGAACC